RNAcentral lists this long non-coding RNA (3234 nucleotides) under Homo sapiens (human). RNAcentral describes it as "HSALNT0103033". Lineage: Eukaryota; Metazoa; Chordata; Mammalia; Primates; Hominidae. The record is from RNAcentral.
CUGGACGUCAAGACAAACACAUUGGCAGAGGAACACACAAGCACCUGGAUGUGGAGAGGGUGUCGAGAGCACGCUGACAGGUACCGGCAAGCCUGCAGGCCAUCGACCGACCGGCCGAACGACUUGGAGUUUGGUCAGGGCGGUUGGAGGAGAGCCGGGGCUGCUGAGCGGCAGGAAUCCAGGGGAAAACCUUUCCACUCCAUCCCUCAUCUGCUGAAAACUACCUCCACUCAAUAAAACCUUGCACUCAUUCUCUAAGCCCAGGUGUAAUCUGAUUCUUCCAAUACACCAAGGCAAGAACCCGGGAUACAGAAAGCCCUCUGUCCUUACGACAAAGAAGAGGAUCUAAUUGAGCUGGUUAACAUAAGCCGCUUAUAGGCAGCAAAACUAAAAGAGCACAGGGCGCACGCCCACUGGGGCUUCAGGAGCUGUAAACAUCUACCUCUAGAUGCUGCCGUGGGGUUGGAGGCCCAAGCUUGUCCAUCUGUAUGCUCCCCUAGAGGUUUGAAGAAGCGAGCCACUCUCCCUGUUGAACGCCCUGCAAAGAGACCAGGGGAACUUUUCCCGUUUCAAUUCCGUAUCAGUACAUUUUGAACUUCCUUAUUUUUUCAUAUAUUCUGUAAAAUUCCUUUGUAUAAAUGGAUACUUAAUGACUAUUUUUCAAAUAGCCAGAAAACUAGCUCAUUUUGCUAGAUAUCUAAUUGUGUUUAUAAAAUAACAAAUGCUUCAAUGUGUAGUAAUUUUCCUGUUGUAAUUCUCACAAGAGCAAGUAUAUCUGUAGAAUCAAGGCCUAGAAGAGAAACUCUGGAUCCAAAGAAUAAAUACACUAGUAAUUUUGGUAACAUUUACCAAAUAGUUUUCUUUUACUCUGCCACUGGAAGAGUUGUUGUGAAAGACAAACAUUAGAAUUAAAGAUGUUUGCAGCUGGGUGCAGUGGCUCUUACCUGUAAUCCCAGCACUUUGAGAAGCCGAGGCAAGCGAAUCACUUGAGGUCAGGAGUUUGAGACCAUCCCAGCCAACAUGGUGAAACCCUAUCUCUACUAAAAACACAAAAAAUUAGCCUGGCGUGGUGGUGUGCGCAUGUAAUCUCACCUACUCAGGGGGGAUGAGGCAGGAUAAUUGCUUGAACCCGAGAGGCGGAGGUUGCAGUGAGCCAAGAUGGCACAAUUUGCCCUAAACCUACAUGCAGAAGAAUGAAAUUAGACCCUCAUCUCACACCGUAUACAAAAAUCAACUCAAAAUGAGUGAAAAAGCUUAAAUGUAAGACCUGAAGCUGUAAAACUACUAGAAGAAAACAGGGGGAAAGCUCCAUGACAUGGAUCUGAGCAAUGAUUUUUUGGACAUGACUUCAAAAUCACAGGCAAACAAAAGCAAAAAUUAAAACGUAUGAUUAUGUUAAAUCAAAAAGCUUCUGCACAGCCAAGGGAAUAAUAAAGAAACAAUCUAUGGAAUGGGAGAAUAUAUUUGCAAACCAUACAUCUGAUAAGGGGUUAAUGUACAAAAUAUAUAAGGAACUCGAACAACUCAAUGUUAAGAAAACAAGAACCUAAUUAAAAAGUAGGCAAAGAACCUGAAUAGACAUUUCUCAAAAGAAGACAUACAAAUGGACAACAGGUACGUGAAAAAAUGCUCAACAUCACUAAUCAUGAGGGAAAGGCAAAUUAAAACCAUAAUGAAAAACUACCUCACACUUGUUAGAACAGCUGUUAUAAAAAAGACAGAAGAUAACAAGUGUUGGAGAGAAUAUGGAGAAAAGAGAAAUCUUGUACACUCUCUGUGGAAUGAAAAUUAGUACAGCCGUUUCAGAAAACAGUAUGGAGAUUACACAAAAAAUUAAAAAUAGAACUAUCAUAUGAUCUAGCAAUCCCACUAUUGGGUAUACAGUCAAAGGAAAUGAAAUCAGUAUACUGAAGAGAUAUCUGCAUUCUCAUGUUUAUUGCAGCGUUAUUCAAAACUCGUGCAGGAAUGUUCACAGCAGUUUUAUUUGGAAUAGCCAAAACUGAAAACAAUCAUAAUGUCUCUUAAUAGUUGCAUGUUCCUUCCAUGGUUCUCACCAUUUGGGCACCCUUACCUAUAGGGAAGUGGAGUGGCUGAAACUACUCAGCAGGUGCUUCUGUGCACUGUUGACUGAGAAAGCUGAGGUCAAACCUGCUUCCCUGGGAAUUCCCUGCUACACUGGGAAUUCCACCAUGGCUGCAUCUUCCAUGAAGCAGAGGAAGAGGAGCGACUGAAGAAGAAAGAGGGUGGAGGUGAAGAUGUGGAGCUCAUAUUGAAUCUUUGGAAAAGUGAAAAUGGCUUUUAGUAUCCAGUAAGAAGAGUAAAUAGAAGAAUUUUAGCCACAAAUGGAAAAGAAAACGUCUCUUCCUCAGCUCAAAGAGACAAGCUCUUGUCAGUUCCUGUAAAAUUUAAUGCUGGUGGGCCUGGAAGCACAUUUCUCAGACACCCUAGCAAAUAGGAAUGACCAAGUAAUAUAAUUUUGCCAAUAAAAAUAUGCACAAUAUUUGGUGGAAAUUUCUCACAAAAUCUUGCUUUCCUCACAUAAAUGUUUCAUCUUCAUGCUUGUUGCUUUCUCUUUUUCCUUCCUAUUCAGAAAGGAGAUGGAUCAAUAAUUGUACAAGCAUGAAGACAAAUGCCAUAUCACAGCAAUGGUGAAAAGAAAGCCUAGAAGAAAUUUGUCUUCCCAACUUUUUUGGAACCCCUGAAUCAGAUUGACUGCCUCGAAAUAGACUUCUUUUUAAACACACAAAAAAAGUAAUCUCAUUUUUAACAGCCAUAAGAAUAUACCUUGUGGACCAUAAAUACUGUAAAAUUAUUUGACCAGGGCCCCUAGCUGUUCUAUUCCCAAGUGCUUUGUUGUGUUUUUGCUGUGGCUCAGUAUCCCAUGAACUGUUUCCAGCUAAUAACUGAGUGCAUAAGGGAUACUAAGACAGACAAAGUUUCUGGGAGACUAAGGACUCCUCCGACAGCUGAAUUUAGUGUCAGGCCUUCCUUGCUUAACUCAACUUACACUGCAAGGUGGCCUAGGUUGCUUCCAUCCAAACUUCUUCCCUCUAUCCUUGCACUGUGGUCUGAUGAUUCUCUCAGCUGACAUUUUCUCUGACAGGUAUUUCCCCUAAUAACACUUAAUUUUGUCUUGAUGUCUGGUUCUGGGAGGACCCAGCUUAGCACACUAUUUUUAUAAGACACUGCUAAUUUAUGCAGGACAAACUUUUUGCUGGGCAAAGACAAAAAAAU